RNAcentral lists this ribosomal RNA (301 nucleotides) under uncultured bacterium. RNAcentral's name for it is "partial 16S ribosomal RNA". It matches the Rfam family "Bacterial small subunit ribosomal RNA", at positions 509 to 807 of the family's 1533-position model. The record is from RNAcentral.
CAGUCGCCGCGGUAAUACGUAGGUGGCAAGCGUUGUCCGGAAUUAUUGGGCGUAAAGGGCUCGCAAGCGGUUUCUUAAGUCUGAUGUGAAAGCCCCCGGCUCAACCGGGGAGGGUCAUUGGAAACUGGGAAACUUGAGUGCAGAAGAGGAGAGUGGAAUUCCACGUGUAGCGGUGAAAUGCGUAGAGAUGUGGAGGAACACCAGUGGCGAAGGCGACUCUCUGGUCUGUAACUGACGCUGAGGAGCGAAAGCGUGGGGAGCGAACAGGAUUAGAUACCCCAGUAGUCCCUGUCUCUUAUAC